GAUAAAAGUAACACAAAACUUCACUAAAAAGUUGUGCAACUUUCCUAAUUUGGUAGAAGAGAUAAAUGUUUGCAAGUUUGCACAUUCUCCUCUUUNNNNNNNNNNCACCAAGUAGUGCAAUAAAUGACCAGCCACAGCAGUCUGUCACGGCAGUCUCCCGUUCUUACCUGCAACAGCAAAGGAACAUGCUGAGAGAGGUGGCGUGUGAGGCUACUACUGGAAGGUUUCCAGACCUAUUCAUGCUGGCAGCUCUAUUCUUAACAGCCAAGAGAGACCUCUUACCCAGCAUCUGAUCUUUACAGCAAGAAAUGGUCCUUAUUCUCUAUGACCCAGUGCAGUGUGACCCCCUAACCUGAUACACGGUAGUUCUUCACAACUUGACUACAAGUAGAAAAUUAGAGUUUUCCAGGCUUAAGAGCCUGUUGGACUUUUAUGAAAUACAGGUAAAUAAAAUACGUGUUUAAUCAUCA
RNAcentral lists this long non-coding RNA (470 nucleotides) under Anas platyrhynchos platyrhynchos (common mallard). Its description in RNAcentral is "lncRNA (ENSAPLG00000028390.1)". Lineage: Eukaryota; Metazoa; Chordata; Aves; Anseriformes; Anatidae. The record is from RNAcentral.